UACGUAGGGUGCGAGCGUUGUCCGGAAUUACUGGGCGUAAAGAGCUCGUAGGUGGUUUGUCGCGUUGUCCGUGAAAACUCACAACACAAUUGUGGGCGUGCGGGCGAUACGGGCAGACUGGAGUACUGCAGGGGAGACUGGAAUUCCUGGUGUAGCGGUGGAAUGCGCAGAUAUCAGGAGGAACACCGGUGGCGAAGGCGGGUCUCUGGGCAGUAACUGACGCUGAGGAGCGAAAGCAUGGGGAGCAAACAGG
Molecule: ribosomal RNA, 253 nt
Filed under: uncultured bacterium
Lineage: Bacteria
Description: partial 16S ribosomal RNA
Rfam family: Bacterial small subunit ribosomal RNA
Source: RNAcentral